This 492-nucleotide ribosomal RNA is filed under the name uncultured bacterium. RNAcentral describes it as "partial 16S ribosomal RNA". It matches the Rfam family "Bacterial small subunit ribosomal RNA", at positions 29 to 507 of the family's 1533-position model. The record is from RNAcentral.
AGUGAACGCUGGCGGUAGGCCUAACACAUGCAAGUCGAACGGCAGCACAGUAAGAGUUUGGUCUUACGGGUGGCGAGUGGCGGACGGGUGAGGAAUACAUCGGAAUCUACUUUUUCGUGGGGGAUAACGUAGGGAAACUUACGCUAAUACCGCAUACGACCUACGGGUGAAAGCAGGGGAUCUUCGGACCUUGCGCGAUUGAAUGAGCCGAUGUCGGAUUAGCUAGUUGGCGGGGUAAAGGCCCACCAAGGCGACGAUCCGUAGCUGGUCUGAGAGGAUGAUCAGCCACACUGGAACUGAGACACGGUCCAGACUCCUACGGGAGGCAGCAGUGGGGAAUAUUGGACAAUGGGCGCAAGCCUGAUCCAGCCAUGCCGCGUGGGUGAAGAAGGCCUUCGGGUUGUAAAGCCCUUUUGUUGGGAAAGAAAAGCAGCAGGUUAAUACCCCGCUGUUCUGACGGUACCCAAAGAAUAAGCACCGGCUAACUUCGUG